AGGGUUUGAUCCUGGCUCAGAUUGAACGCUGGCGGCGUGCCUAACACAUGCAAGUCGAGCGGUAACAGGUGUAGCAAUACAUGCUGACGAGCGGCGGACGGGUGAGUAACGCUUGGGAAUCUGCCUGUUAGUGGGGGACAACCCGGGGAAACUCGGGCUAAUACCGCAUACGCACUACGGUGGAAAGCCGGGGACCGCAAGGCCUGGCGCUAACAGAUGAGCCCAAGUCGGAUUAGCUAGUUGGUAGGGUAAUGGCCUACCAAGGCGACGAUCCGUAACUGGUCUGAGAGGACGACCAGUCACACCGGAACUGAGACACGGUCCGGACUCCUACGGGAGGCAGCAGUGGGGAAUAUUGGACAAUGGGCGAAAGCCUGAUCCAGCGACGCCGCGUGGGUGAAGAAGGCCUGCGGGUUGUAAAGCCCUUUCGGUGGGGAAGAAAAGCCUCGAGCGAAUACCUCGGGGUCUUGACGUAACCCAUAGAAGAAGCACCGGCUAACUCUGUGCCAGCAGCCGCGGUAAUACAGAGGGUGCGAGCGUUAAUCGGAAUUACUGGGCGUAAAGCGCGCGUAGGCGGCUUUGCAAGUCGGGUGUGAAAUCCCCAGGCUUAACCUGGGAACUGCAUUCGAGACUGCAUUGCUAGAGUAUGGGAGAGGGAAGUGGAAUUUCCGGUGUAGCGGUGAAAUGCGUAGAUAUCGGAAGGAACAUCAGUGGCGAAAGCGACUUCCUGGACCAAUACUGACGCUCAUGUGCGAAAGCGUGGGGAGCAAACAGGAUUAGAUACCCUGGUAGUCCACGCCAUAAAC
RNAcentral lists this ribosomal RNA (806 nucleotides) under uncultured Gammaproteobacteria bacterium. RNAcentral describes it as "bacterial SSU rRNA". It matches the Rfam family "Bacterial small subunit ribosomal RNA", at positions 8 to 807 of the family's 1533-position model. The record is from RNAcentral. Lineage: Bacteria; Pseudomonadati; Pseudomonadota; Gammaproteobacteria.